UUUCCAUAGGUGAACCUGCGGAAGGAUCAUUAACGAGUUAGGGUCUUCCAGGCCCGACCUCCCAACCCUAUGUUUAUUGAACCUCUGUUGCUUCGGCGGACCCGCCUCACGGCCGCCGGAGGACCGCUGCAAGGCGUCCUCUGGCCAGCGUCCGCCGAUGGCCAACCACUUAAACUCUGAAUGAAUCGUGUCAUAUGUCUAAGUCUAUGAUUAAAUUAAAGCAAAACUUUCAACAACGGAUCUCUUGGUUCUG
Molecule: unclassified non-coding RNA, 253 nt
Filed under: plant metagenome
Description: partial contains small subunit ribosomal RNA, internal transcribed spacer 1, and 5.8S ribosomal RNA
Source: RNAcentral